This 329-nucleotide ribosomal RNA is filed under the name Armadillidium vulgare (common pillbug). RNAcentral's name for it is "partial 16S ribosomal RNA". It matches the Rfam family "Bacterial large subunit ribosomal RNA", at positions 1942 to 2547 of the family's 2925-position model. Lineage: Eukaryota; Metazoa; Arthropoda; Malacostraca; Isopoda; Armadillidiidae. The record is from RNAcentral.
CUAACUGUGCUAAGGUAGCAUAAUCAUUAGUUACUUAAUUUGUAACUAGAAUGAACGGCCUGACAAAAGAAUAACUUUAUUAUUUUUUGGUUAAAUUAAUUUAAGAAUAAAAAAGUUCUUAUAAACUAGAAAGACGAUAAGACCCUAAAACCUUAUAUAUAAAUAUUUACUGGGGCGGUAAUUUAUUAUCCAUAAGUUAAAAUAACACAAUGAAUGAUAUUAUCUAUUUAAUUAACUCAAAAAGGUACUUUAGGGAUAACAGCAUAAUUUUUAUUUAGAGUUCUUAUCGACAUAAAAGAUUAUGACCUCGAUGUUGAAUUGAUUCAACU